UUUUUUUUUUUUGUAAUUACUUUUUUUUUUUUGUAAUUACCUAAUUUAUGAAUGAAAUCCAGUAUUUGAUGAUAAAAAAAAAAAAGAAGAUAUGCGGACUUGAUAAAAAGAAAAAUAGUGACUGUUGAUAACUUAGUGUUAAAAAGAAAAAUAGUGACUGGUGAUAACUUAAAGUGUUAGAAACGAAAUUUGGUAGUGACUUUGAUUUAAUUUCUAGUUAAAAGAUUGAUUGCCUUAAAUUCCACACCAUUUUAAAAUCCAUCAUAAGAUACUAGUAUAUUUCAAAGGGAUUAUUCUUAGUUAUAAGAUUAACGUAGCCAUUCCCUGAUUAAGUACAAUAGAUGUCUCUAUAAAGGAUAAAUAAAUAAAAAGUACAAAAAAAGUAGAAAGAAAAGCGGGUUUUUCUCAACAAAUGGCUAGCCUAAGACAAAGUUCAGGAUUCUGACACAUAAACAUUGUACUCAACAAUGGCAUCUCCCGUAUUAGCAUCAAACCAAACCGUAUGGGCCAAGGCAUAACCUCGAGCAAACCUAAACUGCCCAGUGCCUCCAACAACUGGCAUCUCUCUCACAUCAUUCAUGACCGGAUUCCUCCCGAGAAUGCUAAUGCUACUCCCCUUGUACUUGCCUUCCACAAAAACAAAAUUCAUGACCAUAAGGAAUGCAAAUUCAUCUGCUUGUUGUGAAGCCACUGAGUAAAACCCUUGUGCUCUUCCGAUGAGCGUGGAGGCACGGUCUUGCUCUUCAGUCAGUGCAUUAUCGAUCAUCAUAGUGCUGCCAAAGCCUGCAGCGGUACCAUUUGGUGGCCCAAUAAUUCUAACAGAGGUUGGGUUUUUGCCACCAAGGAUGUCAUGGAAGAAAAAGUGGAGGUGGCUUAAGAUUUCUGUUUUCCCGCCGGAACUGACAAAUUGCCUGAUUAGAACUCCAUCAAUGGAAUAGAGAAAGGUUGAGUAGAGGAUGAAGAUAGAGUAGUAGAGAAACGAAGACAUAUUAGUCUCUCUAGCUAGCUAGUAUGUCACUCUGAGAGAGAGAGAGAGAGAGAGAGAGAGAGAGAGAGAGAGAGAGAGAGAGAGAGAGAGAGAGAGAGAGAGAGAGAGAGAGAGAGAGAGAGAGAGAAGAUGUAAGAAUGUGGUAUGUGGUCACUAUAAAAGAGGAGGAAGAGGGCAAGUUUUAGAAGUUGUUAAUAUGUCCAAGUGUGAGAUUGAGAAUAUAUAUUCCGUUUACAAAAAUUCUAUUGUGCUCCGGAGUAUCUUAUAUUCUAAGUUUUUUAAGUGUUAGAUAUUAUCUAUUGUGUGUUUUAGCUACAAAACAGCUAAAAUUCUUGAGUAACCGAUACUCCAGAAUAUCAUAUAUAAAAAAUCCCAUCAUGCUUAAUUAUAUAAUGGUUGGUCUGGUUGAUGCAUUUUCAAGCAACCACUGCUUUUUGUUGGGUCUACGAGAGUGUUUUGGUUUUUUAAUUAACUCAACUUGGAGAGAUUGAAUACUUUUUAAGCAAGGAGAGAUCGGAAUCCAUUGAUGGCUAACCAAAUGUCAAACAUUACAUGAAACUAUGAAAUUUUGUGUUUAGGAAUCGACAUGAGUUUGGUGUUCGGUUAUAAUAAGGUUAUGUGAGACUUAUGUUAUGCCACGUACAUGAUGAUGACCCCGAAAACAAUGAUAACAACAAUUGAUUGUCUGUUCGGGCCGAUUUUACAUGUGAGCUUAAUAUCAAAUAUCUAUUGCAUUAAGUAAUUAGCUUGAGAUUGAGAGCAAAAGAUAACAUGAGCCCUAGAUUUAUUUCUACUAAUUAAUGAAACCUUCUUUGUCAAUCAAAAGAAGGUGAAAAGACAAAUUAGUCUUCUAUGACACAAAAAAAUGAUGGACAAUAAUGUAAUUUCACAAGUCCAAAUUUUACUAUUUUUUAUUGAAACCUCACCUACGUUCUCUCUCUCUCUCUCUCUCUCUCCCCUUCUUAUUUUCUAAAAAAAAUGUGUUCAUACACAUAAAGUGUGUAGGCAAAUACUAGUAUUGAGUUAUGAAAGGAAUGAAUAAUAUGCAACUCAAAUUAUGCAUUCUGAUAUUUUAUUACUCAAAUUGAGCCCAAAAUGUAACAUAGCCUUAUAGACUAAAAUACUCUGAUAUUUUAUUACUCAAAUUAUGCAUUAUUUAAUCAAUUUUCAUAUUUUAUUAUUAGUUUUGGAUAUAUUUUAUUCAUUGUAUUUAUAUAAAGCAUACAAUUUUAUAUUAAAAAGGAUAAGCAUACUAGUACAUGUACGAAAAAUUUCGAGAAUAUUCAAAACAUAUAAAUUAUAUAAAUUUUUGAAAUAUGUUUCGGGAAUUUUAAGAUUACUCUAAUUCCAAAAUUUUAUAACAAACAUUAAAAACGUUGUUUCCAAUAGGAUGAGCCCGAAAAUCACCCCUACCCGAAACAAAAUAAUAGUACAUAAGAUUAUAUCUUUUUUUUAAUGGGCUACUCAUUAAUAGUACUGGAGGAACACUACUAUAACAUGGUGAGGUGGAAGAGGGGGCAGUCGGAGUCGCAGUCGCAGAAUUUAUCCACUAGGAUGGUGAAGCGGAAGUUGGAAGAGGAAUCGACAACAACCGAAGAGAAAACAGAAGAUGAUGACACGCAUAAUGCCACUAUACGGUCCCCGCCGAAUGUUGAGGUACAGGAGAAACUCUUCAAGCAAAUAUUUCUUUAAUAUUUCAGUAAAAAAUUAAAUUUGAAACUUUUUUAAUUAAUUUUUUUUUAGAAUUAUAUUUCCUCAAUUUCAUUUUUAUUCCUCAGAGGUGGAAGAUUCUAGAUUCAGAGGAAGACGCUGACUUCCUCAAACAAAAGAAAGUUGUGAAUGAUUAUAGGCCUGGAGUUGUCUACCAGGUUUGCUCUUGAGCUAUAAAUUAGACGUUACAUCGAUACAUUUUUAAGUCAUUUGAACUCCAACUCAAUGUCAUUACUUUUUUAUAGUAUAGCGAUAGCGUUAUCGGUUCGACAGUUAGUCGAUAGGAGAAGAGAGUAAGUGGAGAUUGAACCUGCACUAGGGUUUAUAGGCAUGAUGUUUCUUUUCACCACUAUGAUAAAGUGUCAUCUGCAGCUCAAAGUCAUAACUUUUGAUAAACUAUAAACUGCUUGAUUAGACUUGGGAGUUAUAUUCUUUGGUUAAUGAAAAUCCUUAUAUAAAGUUGGUUAGGUUUCUAUUUGAAACUCAAACUAAUGGAGUUAUAUUAUUAGGUCGGAUCUUUUGAUAUGAGUUCAAAGUAACUAAAAAUUAGACCUAUUUCAAAAGUCAAAAGUCACUAAAAAUUGGACAUAUUUCAAAAGUUGGCCUAUUAAAUUGGACUUAUUUCAAAUUUUCCCAUAAAUUAAAUGAAAAAGUAAUUGAUAACUAUAAGGUGUUGAUAUCAUUGUUGAAAAAUAUCAGUGACAACUUAGUGAGUUACUGAUACAAAUUCCGCCGAUGAUUUGUACCAGAGAAUUUCUGGAUGCAUAAAAGGACCCUAGCUUUGCAAAUUUAGGGUCUAAAUAGAUCCAUCCAUUUGUUUAUGAGAGAAAAUUUAAUUCCAAACCUUCAUUUUUCUGAAGUAACUUUUGGAUUUCAUUAACAUAUCAAGACAGUAAAGUCCAAUUAAACAAUUUAUACUGUAUCUAUUCUAUCCUUGCAGACCUUUAAAUUAUAAUAUCAUCAACCAUAAGUUCAUUCAUUGGAAUUGAGAUUAGCAUAGGCUUACUGUAUGCCACCAAGGUUUUAGCACUGGAUCAUGCAUCUCUUACUAAUACGUAGUCUCUGUUUUCUUUUUCUUUUACUGUGUUUAAUUUAUAAUUCAUGAUUUUAAGUGUUUUACCCGUCCAGGCUCUUCGUUCGAUUUUUGAUAGCAAACUUAAUAAAGCUGGUAUGGCAGGAGCUGUGUAUGUAAACACAGAUAAUGGAGUGUUAUUAUUUGAGAUUAAACCCCAUGUCCAUAUACCAACUACCAAGAACGUGUAGGCGCUUUUGUGGAGUCAUGCGUAAGUUAGCUUCUACUCCUAGUCGUUUUAUAUUCACCUUUGCACCAUUCUGCCUCUUCAAAAUAUCAUGGAACUUACGAAUUGCUUUGUAUUUUGACUUCUGCAAUUUCUAAAGUGGAGUUACUAGAUAAAAAAUGCAUACGGACCAAAGAUACAAAUGAAAUUCUUAUGCGCAUCAUUAAGGAACCUGUAACCCGACAUUUACCAGUCAACUCUAGUGUUGUAGGUGAGCAUUGCCUACCUUUAUUUAGCAUUCUGAGCUUACUGACUAGAACUAAAGCCUGUUGCACUGGGUUUGCAGGUCUCUCUUAUAGUUCAUAAAAACUGGUUGAUAUUGAUGACUAUGUUAAUUCUGCCAGUGAUGAAUUGAAUCUUGUUUUGUGGUAUGUUUGAGAUUCUAAAUUUCAGUUCAUAGGUCUCUGCUUCAUGCUCCGUUUUGUAUGUGAAUUUUGAAAUCCCCAUAACGGCUUUUUAUACAUGUUCAGGUGGGUGCAGAAGCCCAUGGGAAGAUCAAUGAGUGUACAGAUGAUUUUAUAUCAGGUAAUUUGUACUUGAGUUAUUUGAUAGUAUGGUUUUUAUAGAAGCGUGGUUUGAAUAGAUAUGUUUGUUGAUUAUUGACUCAAACUUGUAGUCAAAGAUAAAAAAUUUCGGCUACUUUUGUGGUCAAAAUUGUUGGAUGGCAUGCUACAUGUGGGAAACAAAAUACAUGCAAUUGUGCCUAACUCUUUUUGACUUGAUGUUAGGCCUUUGGCCAUUGAUGUCUUUGAGAAGCUUUUCUUUGGCUAUAAAAGGAGAGCAAGGUGUAGCUCAUAAGCAUGGAGAAGUAGAGAGGAGAACAAGGAAGAGAGAAAAAUAGCAAGAAGCCAUUCGGCAUAGAGAAGAAUUUUCUCAAAUUGUCUUGCUUUGUAUUUUUGGUUUUCUCUUCCUAUUGUAAGUGUGAGAGCUUGGGUUAUUUAGGUCUUUGGGAAAUUGAGUGAUAAACACUAUUGUAUGUUCUCAUUGAUUAUAGUGGAAUACUCCGUCGUCUCCAAACUGGAUGUAGGCAUUGCCGAACCAGUAUAAAUCUUGGUGUUCUUGUUGGUGUUGGUUUUAUUCUGUUCUGUCUUACUAUUCACUUACAGUUGAAUGCCGCUUCUGCACAACAAUGUUAAGACACUAAGAUGGUUUAUGUGAACUUUAGAGCUUGCAAAGGUGAUUUUUGGUGGUCUAGUAGUAUGAAUUCUUGAGUAAAAAAGAACAGCGAUCGAAGGAUUUUUUGCAAUGUAAGAAACCUGAAUCUUAUCAAAACUGGAGAGCAGAUGGUUGACACAAGUAGAUACUGCAAUUUCUUUAAGUGUUAUAGUGUAUUAAACUUUGUUAAUUGUCAUAGUCAGUUGUACCCAAAACUGUUUCUCGUCUGGUUAUGUUUUCUUCUUCCAGUUUAGGUUUUGCUUUACUCUUCUAUGUAUGUCAUGCUGGUCUAUAUCUUGCUGGAAUCUAUUAAUAAUAUCUUAAUGUUGCAUUUGUUUGCCUCUGCAGUUUCAAAUUAUCCAUUGAAUGCAAAAGGCUGCAUAGGGUUGAUUUGCGAGUCGUUGGAGCAUAAAUGGAAGAUCUUUUGAGUCAUAUAUAUCUAAGUUAUUAAAUACUAAUUAAGGUUUGUACAAGCGCCGAAGAUAUCUAAACAUGAGUAUUACUUCAAAAAAAAAAAAAAAAAAAAAAGGAUGGUUAUUCAAUUUGAUGAAGUCAAUUUCUUCGACACUGAAAGGUAGAGGCCAGCACAAUACUAGUCAAGCCAAGUUGAGCUGAUUUCCAUCACUGCCGAAAAUAACUAACUUGUUGAUUGUCGUCAUCAGUUCUCUUCUCGGUGUCAAAUGCAUCUAUCAGGAUGGUCAAAGUUGUAUUAAUUCGUGUACUCAUUUAAGUUCCUUCUCGAUCAGUGAGAUUAUGAUAAAAGGAAUCCCGGUUAACAAGAACAACACGCUGAUCAUGAAGCUUCUGUAUAAUCUUAUCGCAAACUGUAGUCUUACCAGAAGCUGCCCUACCAGCUAAACGAACCCAUGUUCAGAGAUACAGAGAAAGAGAGUUUUAUUUUAUAUUGCAGUUGCAAACUUGCAGAUGUUGUAAAUAUAAGCAUUUAUGUGUGAUUGCGUAAAUAAAAGUAGGAAUUUAACAUGGCUCGUCGGUUAGGAUGAUGUACUUAUUGUAUCUGUUAAAGGAUUCCCAAGCCGCCACUUAGUACUACAGUCUAAUGGUAUAUUUCUCUUCACUUGGAAGUGAGAGGUUUUAGGUUCGAAUCUCGUAGAUGGCGAAUUCAAUACUAAAUUAGGUUGCCCAUUGUGUGACUUAGGCGAACUCUCUCUCUUGGUAGUAUAAAAAUAUCGAUGUACUAUAAAUAAAAGGGAUUCCUAAACCAUAUAUAGAAGGAUUAAUAUAAAUAUAAGGCGCAACGCAUGUGAAAAAACAAGUUCCCUUCUCUCUCUCUCUCUCUCACGUUCUCUCACUCUAAUUAAGUUUUCUGGACAAUAUAUUAUCAGCUCUUUUGUAGUUCUUGAGAGGAAUCUUAUCGGUGUUUGGAGUUCUUUAUCCAAGUAUUUUCUAAGCUUAAUUUAAAUUUCAUGUGUUAAACUUGAUUAUAUGAACAUCACCACAAAGAAUGAACUCAAUUUUAUACUCGAAAUUAUAUUUUGAUUAUGUCUUUCGAUUAUUAUGAAUUACUUGUUGAUAUGUGUGUCAAAAGAAAAAGAAAAAUCUCAUGGAAAAAAAAAAAAAACCCUAACGCCGAUGGCUCCAAGACCAGGACAUGGACGCCAUAUAUGACUGUCUUUGUCCUCGAUAUUCGCCAGCGUUACCACCCCUGCAGCUGAUUUUGGAUUCGUCUAUAAAAGAAAGAAUUUUAUAAUUAUUUGUUCUCUCGAGUCUUAGACUCUCUCACCUUGCUCGCUUGCUAUAGCUAUUAGCUGUUAGCUAUCGAGGACAGAAUACUGAAGACUGAAGCCCCCCAAUUCCCUCCCCGAUUUCUUUCUGAUUCGAUGAAGACCCACAAAGUUUCGAAUCCAAAUAAGACCUCUAAAACAAGGUAAUAAGCAUUUUACUCUCAUAUUUGGUUUAGGGACUCCGAGACUGCAAUGCACGCUUGAUUAUUCAUAGAUCGCAUACUUCAUUAUUUAUUAGCUAAAUCGCGAAAAUAGUUCCUGAAAUUUACAUAACUCCUCAUUUUGGUCCCUGAGAUUUCAAAUCAAUAGAGGUGGUUCAUAAGAUUGUCCACCAUCCAUCAUUUUGUUCAUUAGUUCAUUAACUAACCUAAUGUUCAGGUUGGUGCCAUGGCUCACGGGAACAUUGAUAGCGAAUAUGUGGAUGAUUUCAUAGCAGGUUGGUCUCUUAUAACUUUCAUUGUUUGGAAUGUAUUUGCUUCUACGUCGAUUUAGCCCUAUUUUACCCGCUGGACAGCAGCUUAACACUACUGCCAAUCAGAUUUCCAAGCAACCAAACUAAUCAAUAAGCCUGAAAAAUGAAAAUCACGUUUAGUAGGUACCAACCUAAACAACCUAGCUAGGCUUGAUACAUGUCCAUGACAUUUGCAACCAAGGAAUAUUCACCACAUACACAAGUGAUGCUUAUGUUGGAGUUGUGCAACAUUGCUAAUUCACGUAUCAUAAUAUGAGUAGGCUAUAUAGAUAUUCCAUUAACAAAUAGAUUCCUCGUGUUAUAACUUGAAUGGAUUGGCCACAUGGUGGUGUGAUAAUCACACUGAAAAGUAUAUCAUCCCUAUGACUCUCCUUUGGCAAUAUUCUUUGCUUUGAGUGGAUUGGCCACAUGGUGGUGUGAUAAUCACACUGAAAAGUAUAUCAUCCCUAUGACUCUCCCUUGGCCAUAUUCUUUGCUCUGAGUGAGAAGUCACGGUACUAGAUUGUCACAUCCCAACCCGGGGUCCACCACAUCCCGGGCCCGUUCCACCACCGUAGCACGAUAUUGUCCGCUUUGGGCCCCGACUACGCCCUCACGGUUUUGUUUAUGGGAACUCACACGAGAACUUCCUAGUGGGUCACCCAUCAUGAGAGUGCUCUCGCGCGCUACUCGCUUAACUUUGGAGUUCCCAUGGAACCCAAAGCCAGUGAGCUCCCAAAAGGUCUCGUGCUAGGUAGAGAUGAGAAUAUACAUUUAAGGAUCACUCCCCUGCCCGAUGUGGGAUGUCACAAUCCACCCCCCUUAGGGGCCCGACGUUCUCGUUGGCACACCACAACCAUGGUUAGGCUCUGAUACCAAAUUGUCACACCCCGAUCUGGGGUCCACCACAUCCCGGGCCCGCUCCACCACCGUAGCACGAUAUUGUCCGCUUUGAGCCCCAACCACGCCCUCACGGUUUUGUUUUUGGAAACUCACACGAGAACUUCCCAGUAGGUCACCCAUCAUGGGAUUGUUCUCACACGCUACUCGCUUAACUUUGGAGUUCCGAUGAACUCCGAAGCCAUUGAGCUCCCAAAAGGCCUCGUGCUAGGUAGGGAUGAGAAUAUACAUAUAAGGAUCACUCUCCUGGGCGAUGUGGGAUCUUACAAUUGUCACACCUCGACCCGGGGUCCACCACAUCCCGGGCCUGCUCCACCAUCGUAGCACGAUAUUGUCCACUUUGGGCCCCAACCACGGCCUCACGGUUUUGUUUCUGAGAACUCACACGAGAACUUCCCAGUGGGUCACCCAUCAUGGGAUUGCUCUCGCGCGCUACUUGCUUAACGUUGGAGUUCCGAUGAACUCCGAAGCCAGUGAGCUCCCAAAAGGCCUCGUGCUAGGUAAGGAUGUGAAUAUACAUAUAAGGAUCACUCCCCUGGGCGAUGUGAGAUCUUACAAUCAAGGAAUUAAAUAUCGAUAUUAUCGGCGAAAUAUCGCCGAUAAUAUCGUUUUUUUGACCCGGCGAUAUUUUUUUUAGUAAAAAUAAAAUAUCUUUAAAAUAUCGCGAUAUUACAGAUAUUAGCGAUAUUAUCGCGAUAUUCGUCGUCGUCGCCGCCGCCGGGAGGUGAGAAAGGGAUCCAGAAACCAGAUCGAAGAAGAAGGAUCCAGAUCGAGGGAGAGACGGAGACGGAGAGACCGAGGCAGAGAUGGAGACGAAGAGACCGAGGGAGAGACGGAGACGGAGAGACCGAGGCAGAGACGGAGACGGAGAGACCGAGGCAGAGACAGAGACGUAGAGACGGAGAAGGCGAUGAGGUGGUGUCGCCGUUGAUGUGGUGUGGAAGUGAGGGUGUGGGUUGUUCACGGGGAGAAUGAGAGAGUGCAGAGAUGCAGAGAGUGCAGAGAGUGCAGAGAGGGAGAAGAGGGAGAAUGAGGGUUGUUCACGGGGAGAAUGAGAGAGUGCAGAGAGUGCAGAGAGCGAUGAGGAGGUGUCGCCGUUGAAGUGGUGUGGAAGUGAGGGUGUGGCGUGUGGGUUGGUUCACGGGGAGAAGGAGAGAGUGCAGAGAGUGCAGAGAGAGAGCACGGUAGAGAUGAGAGAGUGAGGGAAAAGAGAGAUCUGAGAGAAAAGAUAGACGGGGACACAAAAGCAAGGUGGGCCCCCUGGGCACACCUAUUAAGAUCUAAAAAUAAUUUUAAAAGCAAGAUAAACUCAAACUUAGUGUAACAAUCUACCCCUCUUAAAAGAAUUUCGUCUCCGAAAUUUAAAAUCACUUACUAAACUGAAAUACUAGAAAAUAGGAAGGAGAAUAUAUGUAUAAAGAGAAAUCAAGUCCAAAUAAUUACAUCAUAUUAAAAUUUGAUUAAUUUUUUUUCAGUUACAUAUAUUCUAUAUGAUAAAUUUCUAUUUUAAAUCAAGUCCAAAUAAUUACAUCAUAUUAAAAUUUGAUUUUUUUUUUUUCAGUUACAUAUAUUAUAUAUGAUAAAUUUCUAUUUUAAAUCAAGUCCAAAUAAUUACAUCUACUAAAAUUUGAUUAAUUUCUUUUCAAGUAUCUACUUUUGAACUACUCACCAUGUUCACUCUAUGUGAUACUAAGUCACUCAUGUAUCUUACCAUACAAUGUAUAAAGUGUAAAAUAUUGUACUAAUUCAUUAUAUAUAAAUGAUUAUGGUGUGUUUAAACUUAUUUCAUUAAUUACUACAUAUUUUCUACACUUACAAUGUUUGCCAGCUCGCUAUAUAAUCAACUUAAAUCCAUCAUGCAAUGCAUUUCCUUCCAAUUUUUUGUGAUAAACUAAUAGAUAAUUGACUAAAUAAACAUCCUGCAAAGUUUCAAUAAAAAUUUCCAAGUUUUUCUUACAAUUUCCGUAGUUUCCAUGUAAUUUUUAUCGAUAUCGAUAUUAUCCCGAUAUUUCCAUCGAUAUUUCCGUGUUUUUGGACUACCGAUAUUUCCGAUAUUACCGAUAUUUUCUUCCUUGCUUACAAUCCACCCCCCUUAGGGGCUGACGUCCUCGUCGGCACACCACAGCCAGGGUUAGGCUCUAAUACCAAAUUGUCACAUCCCAGGCCCGCUCCACCACAGUAGCACGAUAUUGUCCGCUUUGGGCCCCGACUACGCCCUCACGGUUUUGUUUAUGGGAACUCACACGAGAACUUCCUAGUGGGUCACCCAUCAUGGGAGUGCUCUCGCGCGCUACUCGCUUAACUUCGGAGUUCCCAUGGAACCCGAAGCUAAUGAGCUCCCAAAAUGCCUCGUGCUAAGUAAAGAUGGGAAUAUACAUUUAAGGAUCACUCCCCUGGGCGAUGUGGGAUGUCACAAUCCACCCCCUUUAGGGCGCCGACGUCCUCGUCGGCACACCACGGCCAGGGUUAGGCUUUGAUACCAAAUUGUCACACCCCGACCCGGGGUCCACCACAUCCCGGGGCCGCUCCACCACCGUAGCACGAUAUUGUCCGCUUUGGGCCUCAACCACGCCCUCACGUUUUGUUUCUGAGAACUCACACGAGAACUUCCCAGUGGGUCACCCAUCAUGGGAUUGCUCUCGCGCGCUACUUACUUAACUUUGGAGUUCCGAUGAACUCCAAAGCCAGUGAGCUCCCAAAAGACCUCAUGCUAGGUAGGGAUGAGAAUGUACAUAUAAGGAUCACUCCCCUGGGCGAUGUGAGAUCUUACACAGAUUCCAACCUUUGAAUUUUUUUUAUUGUUCUGCAAGACUAAAUACUUUUAUUUGACUCUAAUGUUUCCUUUCAUUGCCAUCCUUAUUUUGUCUUUCUGAUUUUAUUUGCUGAUAACAAGUCUGUAUGUGUGCUUGCAGUUUCUGGAUAUACGUUGAGCGCUGGGGUUUGCCUAAGAAGUAUAUGUAUAGCAUUAGAGAGAAAGUGGAAUAUUUUGUGAGGAAAAUGUUAGGAAGACGUUUUUAGACUAAAUUUUAUAGAUCACGAGGAAUUCAACCAUCAACUGCCAUAUCAUGUGGUCUGAGAUAUAGACCACGAGGAAGACGUUUUUUAGACUAAUUUUAUAUUUAGUUGGUCUAUUUAACUAUUGGAGAGGACAUGUCAAGUUCUAGUUGAAACCUUCAUUCAAUUUUUUUUUUGAGCAUUUGAAGUUGCAUUGUGUCGUAUGUGCCUUAAUUGGCGUACUCGGGCUACAUCGUCAAUUAUUCCAAGUUUGAUCAAAAAAACCAAACGAGAAACCUUUUGAUGAAACAUACCCAACUGGGCACAAACACAAACGAGUAAUUCCUGCAAGUCUCAUUUCUAGCCAACAUUAUUGUUACAAGUUAUCAUGUUGCGAAACACUCGACCUUUCGAGUUUGUGAGCAAAAAUAAUUUCUUACGGUCAAAUUUGAUGUAGGAGCACCAAGGAAGUAAACCAAUAUCCACCCCAAUAGGAGAGGUUUUUGUGUAGGGAAGUCAACUUAAGGGGAUUGUGAGAGGGUGUCUGAUAAAAAAGUGGGUCAGUGUUAACCUGACAAAUCAGGGUUAACUAGACAAAUUAGGGGGUAGAGUAGUGUAUUUUUGUUUUUUUGUUUUUUGUCUGAAUCGGCACGGACACAUGGUUCAGCUGCUGAUGCUAAAUCGUUACGAGUAGGGUUGAGCAAUGAGCAUUAUGUGGGUUGGUUGGGUUGGACUUCAACCUUUGGCUAACCCAAUAGGCCCAAAUUGGCAUUAUAGAAAACCUUUUCCACCCAAGAAAAUAGACAAACCAACCCAUCUAAACCAUUUAAAAUUUUUAAGGCGAGUUGGGUUAGACAUGUUCUACGAGUUUGGAUUAUUUAGUUUCUUUCUUAUUCCUAAAGUGAUUAUAAGUGAUAAAUAAACCAAAAUGCAUGUUAGGUUAGGCUUAAAUCAUGUAAUUUGACUGUUGUAGGAUCAUUGGCUGUUACUUAGUAUUUAAAUUUCAUUAUUUACUGGAGUGUAAACAAAUAAGUGUGUUUAAUAACUACUAAAUUUGCUAUUUAGUACUACGGUGCAGUGGUAUACCUUUUCACUUGUACCUAAGAAGUCUUAGGUUCGAUUCUAGCCAAAAGCGUAUAUGAACCAUAUUAUUGCUAGUUCAUUGCGAAACUAAACUCACCCCGUCCCCUUUAGUGUAGAUAAUAUCGUUUGUCAAAAAAAAAAAAAAAUAUAUAUAUAUAUAACUACUAAAUUUUAAGAAUAUGUUUAUGGAAUAUACAUGUAUGUUUAAAAAUUGUUAACAUUCAGAUUGGUUAAUUUUGAUCGGGUUAAUAAUGCUUCAAUUCAACACAAAUCACCUAUUACAGCCCGGCCCAACCCAACCCAGUUGGACUGGUCGGUUUGGUCGGUUCCCACCCCGCUACGAGAAUACCGAAUGAUUUGAGAUUCUCCACCCUCCCCGCCUCCUCCCCUCCCCUCUCUCUGACUUCCUAACCUAGUAGCUUCCGUUGUAUUUGGUUUGUAUAGACACCAAAGAACCUAGCUUUGGUGUGAAUUUAAGGCAUAUGACAUCAUAAGCUGAGAUUUCAAGAACUUUACAUUUUCCCUUCAAAUUUCUCCUCAUUGGAGCAAAGAAAUCAGAAAAAGUAUAUUAAUUUCUCUGUCCCUCCUGGAAAUGGUCAGCUCGCUGCUCCGAGCAAGAAAUUCCAUCACCAAAAUCCCCAAAGUCUUCCCCCCAAAUCCACAAAUUCUCACUCCAAACUCAGCCCCAAUCCAAUCCCACCAAAACCCAUGUCCCCAACUCCCUCAUACCCAAAACCCUUCAAGGGUUUUGCAGAAUUCUUCCUUUUCAACCCAGUCCUCCAAGUUUCCGGAAUACGAAAUGCCCUCGGUCACUUGGGGCGUCGUCCAAGGCCGGAAAGAGAAGCUCGUCUCCAGGGUCAUAAUCUGUGACUAUUUGAAGAGCUUAGGCAUAAUUCCUGAUGAAUUGGAGAACUUGGAGCUGCCUUCUGCUGUUGAUGUCAUGCGGGAGAGAGUUGAGUUCCUUCAGAAGCUCGGAUUGUCGAUCGACGACAUUAACGAGUACCCGUUGAUGCUCGGGUGCAGUGUGAGGAAAAAUAUGAUACCUGUGUUGGCUUACUUGGAGAAAAUUGGGAUUCCGAGGCCGAAACUUGGUGAGUUUGUUAAGAAUUACCCGCAAGUAUUGCAUGCUAGUGUGGUUGUUGAGCUUGUGCCGGUUGUCAAGUUCCUUCGUGGGCUUGAUGUCGAAAAGCAGGAUAUUGGUUAUGUGUUGCAGAAGUAUCCUGAGCUUCUUGGAUACAAGCUUGAGGGGACAAUGAGUACUUCGGUUGCAUAUCUUGUUAGUAUUGGUGUUAGUCCUAGGGAUAUAGGACCGAUGGUUACACAGUAUCCUUACUUCUUGGGAAUGAGAGUUGGGACUGUCAUUAAGCCGUUUGUUGAUUAUUUGGUUUCGUUAGGUUUGCCGAAAAAGAUAUUGGCCAGGAUGCUGGAGAAGCGGACAUACUUACUUGGUUAUGAUCUUGAGGAGACUGUUAAACCAAAUGUGGAUUGUUUAAUUAGUUUUGGGAUCAGGAGGGAAGCACUUGCUUCGGUUGUUGCUCAGUACCCCCAAAUUCUUGGGCUGCCUUUGAAAGCUAAAAUGUCUUCGCAGCAGUAUUCCUUUAGUUUGAAGCUUAAGAUUGAUCCUGAAGGGUUUGCACGGGUGGUUGAGAAGAUGCCACAGAUAGUCAGCCUUCAUCAACAUUUGAUAAUGAAGCCGGUCGAAUUCCUUCUUGGACGGGGAAUAGCUUCUGAGGACGUAGCUAAGAUGGUUGUAAAGUGUCCCCAGUUAAUUGCGCUGCGUGUUGAGCUCAUGAAGAAUGGUUUCUACUUCUUUAAGAGUGAAAUGGGGAGGCCACUGAAAGAGCUUGUGGACUUUCCGGAAUACUUUACUUACAGCUUGGAGUCGAGGAUUAAACCUAGGUACCAGAGGUUGCAAAGCAAGGGCAUCAGGUGUUCAUUGAAAUGGUUCCUCAACUGUAGUGAUCAGAGAUUUGAGGAGAGGUUGCAAGGGGAGUAUAUUGAAACAGAGACACCAGGUCCAUCAUUUUAUAUGGGUGGGAAGUUAGAGCUCCCGGGAAGUGAGAUGGUGUCAGAUGAGGAUGAUGAGAGUGAUGAUGAAGUACUUUACAGACGCACUGUUUCCUUGUAGUAAAUUUUAUUGACUUUAGAAAAUCAAAUUUAUUUUAAAAUGUUAUUCAUAUUCAUCGGAUUUGGUUUUCUUAUGCCUGUUCAUAUUUGGUCAUUGUUCUAUUUUAGUUUGACUUUUUCUUUCUUAAUCAUGUGUAUGCAUCUUAUGUAGGUCUUAAGAUUGAUAAAGACAAUGAAAGUAAAAUCGUUUUGCCUACUUCAGUUAGUAUAUUCUUUCAACUAGUUCAGUUACCUGAAAUCAUUAGCUUUGCCUUUUGAUGGAUCAGAUUCUGAUAGACAAAUAUCAACCGUCACCCAACCUACGACUGAGACAGUGCCACUGUUUGCUACUAUGAAUUUUGAUGAUGCUCACUUAUGAUUUAGAACUGUAUCUUUCUGGUGUCGAAAAGGAUGUUUGCAUGAAUGUCUAAAGUGGCCUAACUUUGUGUCCCGUUUAGUUUCUUUAUUUGGGAAACUAAAUGUUUUUCUUGUGAUGGAAAAUGCGUUACUCUUUGUUCUGUCGCAGAAAGAUACAUUAUCAUUACAUAGAAGCAUGAACAGGUAGAGUUCUUGUAUUGGUCACAUUUUGUUAUGCAAGUAUGCAUCCCAGGAAUGGUGGAGGCUGUACGAAUCACAACAUGAGAAGAAAACUUAGUCAGAAAUGGUUCAAAGGUUUCCUUUCGUGUUUCGUGGUUAGUAUGUGUUGAUCAUUAAAUUGUACUAUACGUGGUUCUUAGUAUUUGGAAAUAGUUUCUUUGGUUUUUUUUAUUUUUUUAUAUUUUUUAUGAAUACCUUGAACUCUGCUACUUCUCUGUGUGUUUCCCCAGUUGUUACAAAACAUCCCAGGCUAGUAGACAACUAUGAUGACGGUUGACACCAAGUCUGUCUAGCCUUAUUUGAAAUUUACUCGUAUAUCAUGUUGAAUUUGUUGCUUUAAAGUCAACGAAUGCAUUCAUGUAAUGUUGAUGAUGGGAAAUCGACAUUUAUAUCAUCUGAUAAUGUGAAGUUGCUUCUUUUCAUACCUAGUGCAAUUUUGCUAUAGCUGUUUGUAUAGAUGCAGUCAGAUAUGGGUCAAGACUUUGUCUUUAGGAUGACCUUGCUUGCAUGAGCAAGGCUCAAGUCUCCAAUAUUUAUAAAGGAAAUGUUUGUCUCCCAAUAAGUGUAUGUACGUAAAAUAAAAGCCUAUGGAGAUUGUAUUUCUGGUUUCUUAGCUAGUAUUUUCCUUCCAACUGAAUUAGUGACUCUGCACCCGACUACUCUGAAGAUGCAGAUCUUGUAUAUCUUGUACAAACUGCUUUAUUCCCAACAUCAUAACCAAAGAGUUUAUAUGGAUAUGGUUCUUCAAGGGUUUUUAGGCAUGUCGCAAUCAUGAACACUAAGGCUCGUUAAUGUCCAGACAAAUUCGCAGGGUCGUGUCUUCACUCUGCUGUCAAGUGUUGAUGUCAUUUUUGUUUUCGGAUAUUGGCAAAAUUUAUGAGUUUAUUGAUAGGAUGCACAUGUAGGAGCUGGAUCUGUAUUUUACAAGGGUAAUCAAUCUUGAAAUUCAUCUUGUUGCUGGUUGUGUUUGGGGCCUGGCGCGUAACAUUUUUUAGCUUUGCUGACUGUUCCAUGGUUGAGAAUGAUACUUUUAAAGAUCAAAAGAAGAUGAAAACAAAAGAUGCAAGCUUUUCUUCUCCGGAAUUUGGGAGAUUUUUACCUGCAGUACUUAAUGGGUAUCUAAUGAGCUUCAUGUGACGGCCAGUAUUCAUAGUUAUGGUGAUGAGAUUGGUCUUGGUGAUGAUGAUGUAAUACACUUUAUUAUGAUUUCCCUAUCAUGGUGAUGAGAUUGGUAUUGGUGAUUACUAUCAUGUUUUAUUUUUAUUUUUUUUUUGAGCAAACGAUAUUACGUGUACUAAGUGGUGGGGAAGUGGACUAAGCCUCGUAUUGGGUUAGCCAUAAUAAUAUUGUUUAAAUUCGCUUUUAAUAAGAAUCGAACUUAAAACUUCUCACUUACAAAUAAGAACCAUGUAUUAUAUAAAUUCUCACCAAACACAUUGGACAGAGAAAGAGAAUCGGUCACGAACGCUCUCGGACUCUCUAAAACCCAUCCAGAGAUAGAUGACAAUCUAUUUCUAAAUUUUAUAUACAAAUUUUUCAAUUUAAUUCAUGUGGCUCAAUUUGAUUAGUUAUGUUGUCCCCUCACAUGUUUUAAUGAAAUUUUAACUGAGCUUGACGGCAGGGACAUCAUUGACGUGCAAGAGAAAACAUAACAUAAAUGACCAAAAUUAUGUAUUUACAAUACGUAAAUGAUUAUUUGUGAUAAAAGCCUUUAAAUACUUAUAUCACAUUAUUCGCAUAUGACCAUUAGACGAAAAUUGUAUUAAAUAUAUAAGUACUCCAAGGUUUAAUGUCUUAAAAAUCCUUUCAAUCUGUCACUUAAUACUACGAUCUGGUGAUAUUCUUCUUCACUUGAAAAUGAGAGGUCUUAGAUUCGAAUCUUGUAGAUGGUAAAUUCGUUAUCAAAUUAAGCUGUCCAUUAUGUGGUUUAGCCAAACUCUCAUCUCCUUAAUGUAAAAAUAUCUAUAUACUAAAAAAAAAAAAAAAAAUCCUUUCAAUCUGAAUUUGACUAUACACCCCAAAUUGUUAGAUGAAUUAUUAGGGUUUUGGUCUCCUAAUUGCCUAAUUGGUAUCACAAGAGUUUGAGAAACUUCCGACGACGCCGUUUUGUACACUUCGAUGCAAAAUAGUGUUCUGACGAGUGACGAGUUCUGGUAAAGCAAACAGAGAGUUUAAACCUUCACGAGCUCUGCUAUCUCUCUCUGCCUCUACCGCCAGCCUCUCUGAUUCUCCAGGUGAGUUUCCUCCUUCUCUUCUCUUUUCUUCUUUCCCUUUUUCUGUUGGAAUUUUCUGUUUGCUGUCCCUGAUUUCAUUUGCGGUAUUUUGGAUUUUAACUGCGAUGAAUGAUGUAAAAGCAAAAAUGCUAAAUUUUGAGCACUCAAAUCUCAUUCAUUUAUUAGUAGAAAGCCAGCAUUAAUUCAAAUUGCGUAAUCAAUUUAUCAACUUGCUGCUUCUCAUUUUUCUCUGAAUUGGGUAAUGCUCGUGGCAGCCCAUUUUUUUUCGGUUAUGGCUGCUGUUGCUGCAGAUUUUUCUGUUGAUUUUGGAGGUUUGAUUAUUCUCGUCUCUCUAGACCCUUGAUUUUUUUUAUUAGUCACAGUUGAUUCUUGCUCUGGCAUGUUUUCGACAUUGAAUCACAAUCAGCUUGUGUAUUUCGUUAAUCGGAUAAUUUGAGUUGGCUUGUUGUGUGUUUCUUCCUUUAGCACAUUUUUCAUUAGAUGAUUACAGAUGACAUUAGUAUAUUUCUUGUUUCCGCUUUAUAGGAGGCGAGUUGAUGUGUUUUCGAGCCAAUGCUGCUUUGUUGUAGCUAAGACAAUGGAAUGGGAACUAGACAUGGAUUGUUCAACAAUUUGUGGGUGACCUCUCCUUCCUCGACUCCACACCCUUUGGGAAGCUAUUGGACUCAUGCAUCCGAACCAAGUCGGCACGUGAUGCACGUCGCAUCCAUGCCCGUAUCAUCAAGACCCAAUUUUCCUCGGAGAUUUUUAUCCAGAAUAGGCUCAUUGAUGCUUAUGGAAAAUGUGGUUGCUUGGAUGAUGCACGCAAACUUUUUGAUAAAAUGCCUGAAAGGAACACUUUCACUUGGAACUCCAUUUUAAGCACAUUAACGAAGUUGGGUUUAAUUGAUGAGGCUGUGAAGAUUUUUAGGUUAAUGCCUGAGCCUGACCAGUGCUCAUGGAAUUCGAUGGUAUCAGGGUUUGCCCAGCAUGACUGCUUUGAAGAAUCUUUGGAAUAUUUUGUUAGAUUGCAUGGGGAGAAUUUUGUGCCAAAUGAAUACUCAUUUGGUAGUGCUCUUAGUGCUUGUGCAGGUUUAAGAGAGUUGAAAAUGGGUGUUCAAAUUCAUGCUGUAAUUGCAAAAUCCUCGUACUCAUCAGAUGUUUAUAUGGGGUCUGCACUUAUUGAUAUGUACUCUAAAUGUGGGAGUGUUUCUUGUGCACAAAGAGUUUUUGAUGGGAUGAAUGACCGGAAUACUGUUUCUUGGAACAGUUUGAUUACUUGUUAUGAGCAGAAUGGCCCAGCAAGCGAAGCCUUGGAAGUUUUUGUGAAGAUGAUGGAGUGUGGGUUCAAACCGGAUGAACUAACUUUAGCCAGUGUGGUAAGUGCAUGCGCAAGCUUGUCCGCAAUAAAGGAAGGUCAGCAAAUACAUGCUUGUGUUGUAAAAUGUGAUAAAUAUAGGGAUGAUCUUGUUCUGUGCAACGCAUUAGUUGAUAUGUAUGCAAAAUGCAAAAGAGUAAAAGAAGCCAGAUGGAUUUUUGAUGGGAUGCCUGUUAGAAAUGUUGUUUCAGAAACUUCCAUGGUAAGUGGAUAUGCAAAAUCGGCAAGCGUAAAAGCAGCAAGAUUGAUGUUUACAAGGAUGAUGGAAAGAAAUAUAGUCUCUUGGAACGCACUUAUUGCAGGGUACACACAGAAUGGGGAAAAUGAAGAGGCCCUUGGACUCUUUCUCCUCCUAAAGAGGGAGUCUGUUCUGCCAACCCACUAUACAUUUGGGAAUCUACUCAAUGCGUGUGCAAGUCUUGUUGAUCUGCAGCUUGGCAGGCAGGCUCAUGUACAUGUAUUGAAGCACGGAUUUCAAUUCCAGGUCGGGGAAGAGCCUGAUAUUUUUGUCGGGAAUUCUCUAAUAGAUAUGUAUAUGAAAUGUGGAUCUAUUGAAGAUGGCUGUCUUGUUUUUAAAAAUAUGUUGCAAAGGGAUUAUGUCUCCUGGAAUGCCAUGAUUGUGGGGUAUGCACAGAAUGGUUACGGGAUUGAAGCUCUUGAAGUAUUUAGAAAAAUGUUGGCAUCAGGGGAGCAACCAGACCAUGUCACUAUGAUUGGUGUGCUAUGCGCUUGUAGCCACGCAGGAUUGGUUGAUGAAGGAAAAAAGUACUUUUACUCAAUGAGUGAGGAACAUGGUUUGGUACCAAUGAAGGACCAUUAUACAUGUAUGGUUGAUCUGCUUGGUCGAGCUGGCUGCCUUAUUGAUGCCAAAAAUUUGAUAGAGGUCAUGCCAAUGCAACCUGAUGCUGUUAUAUGGGGGUCUUUGCUUGCUGCUUGUAAAGUUCAUCGUAACAUUACCUUAGGGGAGUAUGUGGCCGAGAAGCUUUUAGAUAUUGAACCUAGGAACUCUGGACCAUAUGUUCUUCUCUCAAACAUGUAUGCCGAGCUUGGGAGAUGGGCUGAUGUUAUACGAGUAAGGAAGCUGAUGAGGCAACGGGGAGUUGUCAAGCAGCCAGGUUGCAGUUGGAUUGAAAUACAGGGUCAUGUGCAUGUUUUCCUGGUGAAAGAUAAAAGGCAUCCUCAAAGGAAAGAAAUACAUUAUGUUUUGAAGUUGCUUCUUGAACAGAUGAGGCGAUCUGGAUAUUUCGAAGAUGCUUGUGAUCUCGAGUCCGAUGAAGAACAUGGCGAAUCCCAACUAACCUCAUUGUACCACAUCGAUAUGUUGGAAGAUGCAGCAGUCGGGUGAUUUUCCUCGAUAAAAUUUGGUAAAUACUCAUCUUCAUUCUUGGAAAAGAAAAAGAAAAGAAAGCUCACAGAGUAAUGUCAUACUUUAUUGUUACCAUGCCUAUGUUUCUUCAUUUCAAUUUAUGGUGGACGAUUAUGCAUUGGGUGCAAAAGAGAGAAUCUCUUCGUUUUGGGGCAGAUUAUAGUGAGCUUCUUUAGUAAUGGAUCCAUUCAAUGAUGAUUCAGAUUUCUCCUUGGAUAUAAGUAGUGAUUUUGAUUCAUCUGAAAAGCCGUCGUUCAUAUCACGGUUUAUAUGCAGAGGGCAAGAUGCGACUGAGGUAAUAUCUCCUAUACAGGCAUACAGCCUUCCCUAGUUUUGCAUCUUCAGAUUUCUAAAGGCAUACAAGUUAUCUGCCGCCUGACUUAUGGGAUAAAUUGCCAUUCUUAGUUUCAUACCAACCGAAGGCUGUCCAUAAGAAUGGAAGGCGAUCCCCAUCCCUUUACCGAACUAAGAAACAUGGCUUCCGUGUCAGUAUCGACCCAUGGAGACUGAUAAAGUUGAGCAUAGAGAAAGCAUUGAUAGCAGCAGAGAAAGGAUUUGAACCACUACCGUUAGAGACCAAAUGUGGACCUCCGAUGAUGAGCACACAUAAUAAAAGCGCAGCCACUGCAGGAUCAGGCUUAACACCUCUGAUAUCCAAAGGGGGGAUGCCAGGGUCACCCGGCGGAAAGUUUUGAAGCCCAAGAAGGCGGUUUUCUGGCUCACCAACCAUGUUCUCUGGCAUUGUGCCCUCACCAAAGAACAAGUAGGGAAAAAAAAAGUACCAAGUAGAGAAAUAAUCUUACAUUCAUGUAAAUGCAUGUUAAUGGUAUUCAUGUUGUUCUACAUCAAACUAAUAUUGCCUGAUGUGGGUGAGGCCAAUCGACCAAGGGCCGUUCCAUAGAGUAGUAUAAAAAGGAAAACUAACGAAAAGUCUAAAAAAAACUCUAGUUUUAAUGAAAAAUGACAAAUAAAGGUGUAGUGAAUAGUAUCAAAAAAGUUAAAAAUAUGAUUUUUCGUUAAAAGUGAAUAGUACCAAGAGUGUUUCGUUAAAACUUCUUAUAAAAUAUCGCUUUGUCAAAAACAUAAUUACCGAGAUUGCCUAACAUUUGGCAUCAUCGCCGAGCUCCUCUGUCUGAACAUUACAUUUGGCUUCAAUGGAAUAAAUAGAAAACUAACUCUAAACAGGAAUGUUCUUUAAUAAUUAAUUGUCAUAAUGCAACGUGAAUAUUAAGAACAAAAGUAACAUCUUCAUGCCAAAAUUUGUGAAAGAUUUUUCAGUGUACCGGGAACAUGGCUUUGAUACACAAAGUGUCAUAUUACAAGUGGUUUGAUACUUGAAAAAAAAAAUCUAAUCAAUUGUAUUAUAAUACUUGAUGUAUCAGACCGUGUUUCCGGUACAUUGAAACAUUUAUCCUUCGUUUUGGAAGCACACUGGGAUGCACCAAUAACAGCUGGCAGCUUGGCACCAAUAAAUAGCCCAUAAAAGGCCCAAUUACACCAUUACAGAAAUGAGCAAUCUUCUCCAACUCGUCAGAGUCGGAACUCAAAAACUCAAAGAAGAGAGUGAGCGAGAGAGGAAGAGAAAGAUAACCAAGAGAAUUGAACGGUGCCGUUUCGCAAGCCAUCUUCUUCCACGAGCCAAAAAAGCUUCGUCCCAAAACCUGCAACUUUCUCCGGGUCAGUUUCAUCCUCCAUUUCCCAUCUCCUUGGUUUUUUUCGUUUGGAUUUUUCUGUUGCAUUUGCAUAUUCUAAUUUUGGGGGGUUUUCGGAUACUAUGCACGUAGUAAUUCAAUUCUCAUGUGAUGCAAAUGAUCGUUUGAACCCUUUGAGUUGUUUUAAUAUUAAUCUUAAUUUUGAUAAUUAAUCAAAAGUUUAGAGUUGAAGUUGUCAUUGAGUUGUUAUUUUUACAAGCCCUUGGAAAAUUAAAGUUUUAUCUCAAUGGAAUUUUGAAUGGAAUGUUGAAUUUCUGUUACUUUUUGCGCUUGCUUGGUAUGUGGAUUGAUCAUAUGAAUUUUGAUCAAGUUGUAUAGGAGUAUGGCAAUGAGAGUGCACCGUGUUUCACUCCAACAGAGUGGCAUUUGUUCCUUUGUGGUUGAGUAUACGGAAUUUAUCCCUUUGGAAUGAUGGAUUUAAGUAUCUGUGACGGGGGAUGCAUUUCGAGGGAAAGGAGGGUCCGAUUGUAGUUGAGGAUAUGAAAAUGGAUAUUUGAAGUGUUUUACCAAAUCGUAAAGUUUGUUUGUUAGCUUUUUAUUUCCCUCCCUCUUGUAUUUUUAUCAACUUGAGGAACAUUAUUAGAAAUGUUUUAAGCUCUUGGUUUUACUAUCUAAGUCAAUAAAAAGCCCAAUUACUGGCUCAAUACAAAACAUUAUUAGAAAUGUUUUAAGCCCAAUAGUCGGCCCAAAAACCAAUGUAGGGCCCGCAGUUGACAAAAACCCUAGCUGUGAGAGAGAGAAUUUGAGAGAGCGAGAAUGGUGUCCGGCUCAGGAAUCCGCGCGAAGCAAGUGGUGGUGGAUAGGCACCACCACAUGCUCGAUCAUCUGGCGCGGUCGUGACCAAGGGCCUUCUCAACGGCCAGCCGAUCGCAGUCGUGCGCACCAAGCAGACCACCAUACCAUGAUUAUAGGGAUAUUCACUUCGGACACCCCAAGAGCAGACCGUCAUACCAUGAUUGUAGGGGUAUUCACUGCGGACACCCCAAGCGAUGUCUCAAACUUGGACGCAGCUGAAGAAUCGAACCGUUACCCAUUUGUCGUCUGGUCCGUCGAGCUCCUCUAAAAAAAUUCCUUUUUCAAACCAAGGGUAGGCUGUGACGAAUGAAACAUCUCAUUGUUCCGUUGUCCUUGUCCGACAUUCUCUAAACAAGUACAAACACUCCAGAGUAGUGCGGUGUGUCAAAGGUGCCAAAGCCAGUUGAAUGACUAGAACUGUCCGGUCUUCAAAAAUGAUCUCUGGACUCCUAAGCACAGGGAAGUACCACUUGAGCCAAAUUUGUACCAUCCAAAGUGGCCCUUGCCGAUUGGUCUGGAAUGGCCUAUCUUUGAUCAUCUUGUCCAACAUCGAGUACAGAUAAGAGAGCACGAAUGGCCCCAUGGCAACAUCUUCAUAGGCAUUCAAUGCCUCAGCCAGAGGAAUCCAUUCCAAUUUGAUGUAUUUGGAGGGAUUUGGAAACAAGAAUUUGUUGAGCCAAUACAACAGGAAAUGUACGUGCUCCUGAUCGGGAUUUGCCCGAAGGGAGUUGGAACUAGAACGUCCCUUGAAAUAAUGCAAAAAUCCUGAGAAAGAGGUGCCUGAGGCCUUGAGCUUGGCCGGAUCGCUAUUCAUUUUCACAAGAAGAAGGAUAGCUCCGACAUUUCCUUUCUUCUUCUUAUUGGUUUCCCUAGGAGCUGCCCAGUCCUUGGUGAUGUCAACACAUUUGCUCGACGGUCGAAGCCCGAACAACUGAGCCAUAUCUAGGAUCGUGGGUGUCAUCGGGCCCAUUAUGAAAUUGAAGGUGUUGGUGGUGUUGUCCCAAAACAUCAUUACUGCACUGAGAAGCUCGAGAUUCAAAGUGAUGCCUUGCUUGGACAGCAUAAUCAGGUCGUGGAUGCCGUUGGAUCGCCAUUUAGCUUCAUGAAUGGGCUUCAAGUUAUCAAUCCAUUGUCCCCACUCUUCACUGGAGGGAGUAGGGAAGCCCUGGGUAGCGUGACUCCAACCUUGUGGACAAAUACCAGUUCUGGUCCUAUAUGGAUUGGGAGUGAUCCAUGUUGCUGCCAGCGGGUUACACUCCACUACAUCUGGGACUGGGCGAGUCUAUGCAGGACCCAGAGAGAAUGCAUCUCUGUGUUCGAAGAACGCAUCAAAAUGAAGAUCAGGCUGAUCUGGGUAGAGCAAUCCAAUCUGAUGUCUGAGUUUGGUAAUGUCGUCACUGAUUUUGUAUCGAGGACGAUUUGAAGCCUUCAUUGGAGAAACUUUGAAAGAACAGAGAAACGGGAAGACUGAGAAUUCGUAAGGAUUGAAGAAAUCAGAAGCAAAAGUAAUAUGGUUCUCAAUCUAGUUUUUUCAUUUUUAUAUGUUUACAAUUUAACGGUCAUUAGUGGCGCAAAUAUUGAUUCUGACUAGGAAUUUGAGAGGUUUAAAUAUAAUUAAAGCCAAUCUUAAUGGUUUAAUCCUGUUUGAAAAAUGGGCAAUGUUCGGACAGAAGAUAAGCAGUUAGGCCUGUUUCUAAGGCCCAACCUUAUUUAUUUCCCAUUUAGCCCAUUAUUUGACAGAUUUAAUAAGCAAAGCCCAUCAGCCCAUUCACAAGGCUAGUCAUAUUUGUUCACACAUUCAUACUUGAGGAACAUCAAAAGGUUGUGCAGGCUUGUAGCUGGAGUAGUAAAUAUCUUGUUCACACAUUCAUACUUAAUAUUUGGUUGCGCAGGUAGAGUUUUAAUCAAUGAGUCGACUCUACAACUUGUAUAACAGUCAUAUCAAACUCUUAUGGAUGUGAUAAUAACUUGAGAUAGUGCAUUCCAUGAUUCUCGCUAACUUGUUUUGUUUGUUUCAAAGACUUUCUAACACAUAUCUUUUGUAUUUUCCUAUUCAUGAUCCUUUAGUCUAGAAAAAUUCUUCUACGCAGUUGUUCGUAUGUAGAAACUAUCAAUUCAAUGGGAUCACAAGGUACCUUGGAUGCUAAGAAAAUAUAACGACUAUUUUGUGAGUGGCCGCACGUACUUAUGACCCUUUAGUCGCACACUAAAAUUUCUCCUUAGACCGAGAUGCAUGUCAACUUUACACUACACUAAAAACACAUCAUAUUGUUAAGGAAAUGCUUGGUAACUUAUCAUUUAACACUCACUUUCAUAUCUAAAUCACUCCAAAAAGAUUUGUUGUGAGAAAAUAUUGUUUGGUUCAUAAAUUUUCUCUAGUGCAUAUCAAAAGAAAGUUCAGUUCCGAACAAGAGUGCACCAGAGAUAACCUCUUGGUUCUACCAUCCAAGUCAAUAAAAAGCCCAAUUACUGUCUCAAUACAAAACAUUAUUAGAAAUGUUCUAAAGCCCAAUAGUCAGCCCAAAAACCGAUGCAAGGCUUGCAGUUGACAAAAACCCUAGCUGUGAGAGAGAGAAUUCGAGAGAGCGAGAAUGGUGUCUGGAUUAGGAAUCCGCACGAAGCGAGUGGUGGUGGAUAGGCACCACCACAUGCUCAAUCAUUUGGCGCGGUUGUGACCAAGGACCUUCCCAACGGCCAGCCGACCGCAGUUGUGCACGCCGAGCAGACCGCCAUAUCGAGAAGUCUGGUGACUGCCUUGUGGAUGUGCUGAUGGGCUUUACUUAUUAAAUCUGUCAAAUAAUGAGAAAUAAAUAAGGUUGGGCCUUAGAAACAGCCCCAACUGAUUAUCUUCUGUCUAAACAUUGCCUAUUUUUUAAACAUGAUUAAGUCAUUAAGAUUGGCUUUAAUUAUAUUUAAACUUCUCAAAUUCCUCGUCAGAACCAAUAUCGGCGCCACUAAUGACUGUUAAACUGUAAACAUAUAAAAAAUGAAAAAACUGGACUGAGAACCAUAUUACCUUUGCUUCUGAUUUCUUCGUUACGAAUUCUCAAUCUCCCAGUUUCUUAGUUCUUUCAAAGUUUCUUCAAUGGCGGCUUCAAACCGUCCCCGAUACGAAACCGAUGACGGCUUCACCAAACUCAGACAUUAGAUUGGAUUACUCUACCCAAAUCAGCCUGAUCUUCAUCUUGAUGCGUUCUUCGAACACAGAGAUGCAUUCUCUUUGGGUCCUGCAUGGACUCGCCCAGUCCCAGAUGUAGUGGAGUGUGACCCGCUGGUAGCAACAUGGAUCACUCCCAAUCCAUAUAGGACCAGAACUGGUCUUUGUCCACAAGGUUGGAGUCACGCUACCCAAGGCUUCCCUACUUCCUCCAGUGAAGAGUGGGGACAAUGGAUUGAUGACUUGAAGCCCAUUCAUGAAGCUAAAUGGCAAUCCAACGACAUCUACGACCUGAUUAUGCUGUCCAAGCAAGGCAUCACUUUGAAUCCCGAGCUUCUCAGUGCAGCAAUGGUGUUUUGGGAUAACACCACUAACACCUUCAAUUUCAGAAUGGGCCUGAUAACACCCACGAUCCUAAAUAUGGCUCAGUUGUUCGGGCUUCGACCGUCGGGCAAAUGUGUUGACAUCACCAAGGACUGGGCAGCUCAAAGGGAAACCAAUAAGAAGAAGAAAGGAAAUGUUGAAGCUAUCCUUCCUUUUGUGAAAAUGAAUAGCGAUCCGGCCGAGCUCAAGGCCUCGGGCACCUCCUUCUCGAGAUUCUUGCAUUAUUUUAAGGAAUGUUCCAGCUUCAACCCCCUUCGGGCAAAUCCCGAUCAGGAGCACGUACAUUUCCUAUUGUGUUGGCUCAACAAGUUCUUGUUUCCAAAUCCCUUCAAAUGCAUCAAAUUGGAAUGGAUUCUUCUGGCCGAGGCAUUAAAUGCCUAUGAUGAUGUUGCCAUGGGGCCAUUUGUGCUGUCUCAUCUGUACUCGAUGCUGGACAAGAUGACCAGAGAUAGGCCAUUCCAGACCAACCGGCAAGGGCCACUUUGGAUGGUACAAAUUUGGCUCCAGUGGUACUUCCCUAAGCUUAAGAGUCCAGAGAUCAUUUUUGGAGAUCGGACAGUACUAGCCAUUCAACUGGCUUUGGCACCCUUGACACACCACACUACUCUGGAAUGUUUGUACUUGUUUAGAGAAUGUCGGACAAUGACAACAGAACAAUGGGGUGUUUCCUUUUUCAGAGCCUACCCUUGGUUUGAAAAAGGAAUUUUUUUGGAGGAGCUCGACGGACCAUAUGAAAAAUGGGGAACGGAUCGAUUCUUCAGCUGCGUCCAAGUUCGAGACAUCGCUUGGUCAUCCCCACUAGUUUGUCUACUCUUCUUAAUCUUAGUUCCAAUAAAUCUAAUUGAUUGGUCAUCCACUUAGAUUUAUCUAAUUAUCUAGAAACAAGUUCACAAUGAUAGCCAGUCACAAUAACAUUCGAGACUAGAAUAGAUUAAGAAUGAAACAUGGCAUGUAAUCGAAUAAUAAUAAACAAGAUAUUUCAGAAAUAAUCAUGUCAUGGCUUCAUCAUAAGCCUUAGAAAAGUAGUUUAAGUACACAUAGUCAUAAUAAAAAUCACAAAAGAAGUCAUGGAAGAAGUGUUGGAUAUAUGUCAACAUUCUGUGAUAAUUUAUAUAUGCUAAUAAUUUAUCUUCCGGAAAAACCUGUAAAGAUAUGGGAAACGUAGUUUUAUCUCUUAUUUUUCCACGCCUAUAUCGCACGUCACUAGGAAAAAUCUUCUCCAACUAGUCAAAGUCGGAACUCUGAAACUCAGAAGAGAGUUGAACGGUGCUGUUUCGCAAGCCAUCUUCUUCCAAGAGCCGAAAAAGCUUCGUCCCAAAACCUGCAACUUUCUCCGGGUCAGUUUCAUCCUCCUUUUCCCAUCUCCUUGGGUUUUUUUCGUUUGGAUUUUUCUGUUGCAUUUGCAUAUUCUAAUUUUUGGGGGUUUUCGGAUACUAUGCACAUAGUAAUUCAAUUCUCAUGUGAUGUAAAUGAUCGUUUGAACCCUUUGAUUUGUUUUAAGAUUAAUCUUAAUUUUGAUAAUUAAUCAAAAGUUUAGAAUUGAAGUUGUUAUUUUAGUUGCUUGGAUUAGGAAAUAUUUUUACAAGCCUUUGGAAAAUUAAAGUUUUAUCUCAAUGGAAUUUUGAAUGGAAUGUUGAAUUUCUGUUACUUUUUGUGCUUGCUUGGUAUGUGGAUUGAUCAUAUGAAUUUUGAUCAAGUUGUAUAGGAGUAUGGCAAUGAGAGUGCACCGUGUUUCACUCCAACAGAGUGACAUUUGUUCCUUUGUGGUUGAGUAUACGGAAUUUAUCCCUUCGGAAUGAUGGAUUUAAGUAUCUGUGACGGGGGAUGCAUUUCGAGGGAAAGGAGGGUCCGAUUGUAUUGUAGUUGAGGAUAUGAAAUUGGAUAUUUGAAGUGUUUAACCAAAUCGUAAAGUUUGUUUGUUAGCUUGAGGAACAUCAAAAGGUUGUGCAGGCUUGUAGCUGGAGUAGUAAAUAUCUUGUUCACACAUUCAUACUUAAUAUUUGGUUGCGUAGGUAGAGUUUUAAUCAGUGAGUCAACUCUACAACUUGUAUAACAGUCAUAUUCUUCAGAAAAUAUAGUGGACAUAACUACCAGUUUUGGGUCGAAAGAUUUCAUAACAAAAACGGGGAUUUCCUUGUUAUCUCCAAAUCAGAAAAGGAAGGCUUUGUCAGAAAUAUUCUCGUCCCUGAAGGUUUUAACUUUUUCGGAUGGAGAAGUUUAGAGGUCUUAUUGUCUGAAAUCCUCCGUGGGGGAAAGAGAGUGGGGGCUACUCAGAGGAAAGUGAAAAGAGUCGGAAAAGAGUUUGUGAACAGCCAGACGGGUGCAGGCCAUCAGGUUUCGUAUAGGGAUGCUGUCCUCGGAGGCAAGACGGCGACAAUUGUGGCACCCACUCGAAAUGCCAAAGAGGAAAUAUGGAUGAAGAAAAUCUGGAAUAAGAGAGACAUUUCCAAGGAAGCCUACAGUUGGGGGAGCGUAGUUGUUUGUGAGAGACAGGUGGUACAUCAACCUUGGAGAGAGGUGGAGGCCUCACUUCGAAAUCUUCUGGGAAUGGAAAUAAGACUCUCGCCUUUCCAAUGCAACAAGGCGUUGUUCGUCUGUCAGAACGAAGAGGAAGCAACCAAAAUUGCUCAACUUGGAACUCUAGCCAUGAAAAAGCUACCAGACGUGGUGAUGUCUGGAUGGUGGGACAGUAUCAAUUCAAAUCACAGAAAGGUGGUUAGUUAUGGCGGUUGGGUUGCUCUGGAAGGAUUACCGCCACACCUUUGGACCAAUAAUUUUUUCCUGAAGAUUGGAGAGGCCUGCGGAGGUCUGGUAGAAAUCGACCGAAGAACCGCUAACUUUGAUUUCUGCUCGAAGCAAAAUUAAAAUUGAAACCCAACGACACAGGCUUUAUUCCAGAGUUCGUUGAUGUGGCAGAUGGAGAAUCAGUUUUCAGGGUUAAAAUUCGUCAACUUUCGCCAGCAAAGAGACCUAAUCUUUCGGCUGAAGACGGUGGAGCAACUAAAUCACCAAAUGGAUCUUUGAAGAAGGACCUGAAAAUACAGAGGCUCACCGGAGCUACCCUUCCGGCGAAGGCGGAUAUGCAACAAUCAGUUCCUUUUCCGGGGACACGUGUCUCUUUCCGGAUUGGUGAGUUUGAAUGCCCUGUCACUGUUGGAGCUGACAGAAAGUAUGGUCUGAACAGGCUUUUGACAGAGGAUGCACGGCAUGAGGAGUCUGCAACCCAUGACUUUACUUUCUCUAUUAGCAAGCACGGGUGGCCACUUCAGACAGAAUGUCUGACAGAUUCGGCGAGCUUUAUAGAAGAACAAGAAAAUGCAGAUGCAAAGGAUAAUUUCAAGAAUUCAAAAAGGAAAGAAAGUCUCAGACAAAGGUGCUUUUUGGAAAAUGGCAAAGGCAUGGAAGUAAGUGGGAGAGCAGGUGGCGGUGGUGGUAUGUCCACCGAAGAAGCACAAAGCUCUACAAGUGGGUAUUAUUUUAAUAGAUCAAACAAGGAGGUUAGUCUAAAAAGUAAAGAAAAAGCUUUGAUGGUGCGUGGGCCCCUGGUUCACAAGGAGUUUGAUCUAAGUGACUUUGUAAGGCUCGUGGGUCUUGUUCCACAAAAUAAUUAUGCUGGGUCAUGUCUAGGCCCACUUAUUCUAUACUAUGAUGGGCUGAGAUAUCAUUUUCAGUUAGGAAGGGAACUAUCAAACAAGAUCUUUUGGCACUCAGCCAUGUCGGCAGAACCAAAGUUGUCGUAUCGGGUGAGCAACAUGCCAAAUUUUACUACAGAGAUUUUAUUUCAGCGACAACAGGCUAAGGAAGCUCAUUUCGACGGUGUCCCAAAAAAAUCCCCCACUUGUUUCAAUUUGAAGUUUCUUGGGAGAUUUGGUGAAAUAGACAAACUUGGAAAAAGGCUGAAGCUUCUUCUCCCACACGAAUUCGGAUCUAACCAGACUGGUGUCGUAAGGCCUGAAAUGAUGGAAAUCCAUUCCCCCAAUCUUUCCAUCUUAGAUUCUGUUGGUGAAUUAGAGGAAGAAAAGGAGAGUGAUGUUGAUGAAAAUCCUGUUCGGCGAUCGGGCUGGUCGACAGAGGAGAAACCAUUUGAUCAAAGGAUGAGAUGGACAGAGGCUCUUGGAUUGGAUUCGUCUUUUUUAUCAGAUAGUGCUGAAGAAGAAUACAUGUCACAAUCAUCAGAUUCAGAUGAGGAGAAUGGUGACUCUUCACAAGACGAAAAAGAACCAUCUGAUGUUUUUGAUCGGUUCAACGGGGAGCUUCACAACCUCUUCACAGAUACAAAUUUGGAAACAGAGGCGACAGCGGAAGAGGAACCAAGUCAAACGCAUCAUGUAGUAGCAUUAGAAGAUGUGGAGCAGUCCGAUUUCAAGGAUAUUGGAAAAAACAAGAAAAUGUUAAAGUACAGUAGAAGGAAAAGAUCGGCUUGUGUAUCAGUCAAACGCGAGGCACAAGAUCAAUCUUCCAAAUUUUUGUCAAAGAUGAAAGUUUCCUUGUUUCCUCUGAAAAGGUCUUUAUUCCAUGAAAUGAAGACUGGGAAAGUUAAAGUCAGCAAGAGUGAGGGUGGAAGCAAGGGAGACAAGAAAUUUCAAAGGGGUAUUAUCAGACUUAAUGAAGAUAAUUAGCUGGAAUGUUAGAGGAUUGGGAAGUAAACAGAAGAGACUGACAUUGAAACAGCAGUUCCGACGUUUACAGCCCGAUAUCAUUAUCUUACAAGAAACUAAGAAAACAUCAAUCGAUAGGAGACUUGUGGCCAGCGUGUGGGGAAGCAGAUUUAAAGAGUGGAUUUAUGCCCCUGCUCAAGGAAGUUCUGGGGGCAUAGCAGUAAUUUGGAACACCAAAAACAUCUCAGUUACUGAAUCUCUGAUUGGAGUUUUCUCUGUCUCCAUAAAAAUUAAGGCCUUCAACGGGUUGGAAUGGUGGUUAUCAGGGGUCUAUGGCCCUUGCAAAAGUAGAGAGCGAAGGGAGUUCUGGGAAGAAAUGGCUGGCCUUUACGGACUGUGCGGACCAAAAUGGUGUGUAGGAGGGGAUUUUAACGUGGUGAGAUUUGUAAACGAGAAAUCAAAUGGGGGAAGGCUGACUACAAGCAUGAGGAAUUUUAAUGAUUUCAUUCGAGAAACAGAACUCAAAGAUUUGGAAUUGCUUAAUGCUCAAUUUACAUGGUCAAAUUUCAGAGAAGAACCUGUGUGUCGGAGGCUAGACAGAUUUCUGGUCUCUGCAGGUUGUGAAGAGAUUUUUCCAGAGGUAAGACAAAUGGCUUUGGCAAGGGUAAUUUCUGAUCAUUGCCCUAUCCAGCUAGAAUCCAACAAGGUGAAAUGGGGGCCAAGUCCUUUUAGAUUCGAAAACAUGUGGCUACAACAUCCAGAGUUCAGGAACAAGUUCAAUCUAUGGUGGCAAUCUGAGCAGGUGGAGGGAUGGGAGGGUUACAAGUUUAUGAUCAAGUUAAAAGCCAUAAAAAAAAAGGUGCAAAGAUGGAGUAAGGAGAGUUUCGGGGAAGUCGAGAAAGACUUUAAAGAAGCUGAGGCUAGCUUAGAGGAGUUAGAUAGGAGAGAGGGGAUGGAAGGGCUAGAUGUUGAUGCUAGAAGAAAGAGGGAAGAACUACUCUUCCUUGUGGGAGAUUUGGCUUACAAGGAAGAAGUGAAAUGGAGGCAAAGAAGUAAAGUGGAAUGGGCAAAGGAAGGGGAUGGUAAUACUAAAUUUUUCCAUCGAGUUGCAAGCGGGAGAAGGAAGAGAAACUAUAUAGAAAGGUUGGAACCGGAGGUUGGGGGAGUGAUAGAGGAUGCGAACGAGAUAGAAGAUCAUAUAGUCAAUUUCUUCAAGUCCUUGUUUAGUAGCAACGAAGAGGCAUGUUGGGGCUUGGAAGGUAUCAAUUGGGCUCCAAUAAGCGAACUUGAGGCGAAUUGGAUUGAGAGGCCUUUUGAGGAAGCCGAAGUUCAAAGAGCAGUUUUUGAUUGUGGAAAGGAUAAAUCGCCAGGACCGGAUGGCUAUUCUUUGCAAAUGAUUCAACAAUGUUGGGAUAUCUUGAAGGCGAACAUUAUGAAGAUUAUGGAGGAGUUCUACGAGACAGGGAUAAUAAAUGCGGUGACAAAUGAAACUUUUAUUUGUCUAAUUCCGAAGAAGUCAGAUUCUAUGAAAGUGACGGAUUUCAGGCCCAUAAGUCUUGUGACUGGGUUAUAUAAAAUUAUGGCGAAAACCUUGGCCUCAAGAUUAAAGGAGGUUUUGGGCAGCACAAUUUCUCAAAAUCAAGGAGCGUUUGUUAAGGAUCGACAAAUAUUGGAUGCUGUCCUUAUCGCAAAUGAAGUGGUAGAAGAGGUCAGGCAGAAGAAAGAGGAGGGAUUGGUGCUCAAAAUAGAUUUUGAAAAAGCGUAUGAUCAUGUAGAGUGGAGAUUUUGGACGAAGUCUUACAAAGAAAAAGCUUUGGCAACAGAUGGAGGAAAUGGAUGCAGGGAUGCUUAAGUUCCGCAAAUUUUUCUGUUUUGAUUAACGGGAGGCCUAGGGGAAAAUUUCAAGCUUCAAGAGGUUUGAGACAAGGUGAUCCACUGUCACCUUUUCUUUUUACCUUAGUAGUCGAUGUUUUGAGUAGGUUAAUGGAGAAGGCUCAAGAAAAUCAUCUCAUCAAAGGGUUAUGUAUUGGGCAAGAAAAGGUGGAGAUUUAUCAUCUUCAAUUUGCAGAUGAUACCAUUUUUUUCUUGGCGGAAGAUGAGGGAGGUUGGAACAAUCUAUUAGAGCUGCUCAAAUUAUUCUGUUCUGUUUCAGGGUUGAAAAUCAACAAAGCUAAGUGUUAUUUGGCCGGAAUAAAUUCAGAUUGUGAGAAAUUAAAUAGGUUGGCGGAUUCUUGGGGUUGUGAGGUAGGUAGCUGGCCUAUAAAGUAUUUGGGACUCCCUCUUGGGGGUAGGCCAAGAGCACUCAAGUUUUUGGGAUCCAGUGGUAGAUAAGAUGGAAAAAAGACUUCAAAGUUGGAAGAAGGCCUUCUUAUCCAGAGGAGGUAGAUUAACUCUGAUUCAAUAUGUUUUGGGAAGCUUGCCGACCUACUACAUGUCUCUGUUCAAAAUGCCUUGCGGGGUGAUUGGACGCCUAGAAAAACUAAUGAAAGGAUUUUUGUGGGAAGGUGUGGAGGAAGGAAAGAAAAACAACCUGGUAAAAUGGGAGAUAGUUAUUAAAAGUAAAGAGGAAGGAGGUUUAGGGGUGGGGAAUUUGAGGAAUCGGAAUGAAGCAUUACUUGCUAAGUGGUUGUGGAGAUUCCCAAAGGAACCUCAUUCUCUCUGGCACAAAGUGAUAAGAAGCAAAUAUGGGCUACAGGAUAACGGAUGGAACGCAUUUCCUCCGAUAAGGGGUUUCAAGCCGUAGCCCAUGGAAAGAUAUAUCGAUUGGUUCCCAAUUGUUUCUUCACUGCUGUAAGUUCGAGGUGGGCAACGGGGAGAGGGUGAGGUUUUGGGAGGAUGGGUGGUUAGAUGGAGGACCAUUGAAAGAGCAAUUUCCUAGAUUAUUCUUGCUAUCGAGGAAGCACAAUCAGAACAUUUCAAGCUUUGUAGAUCUUUCUACCAAUUCUUUAAGUUGGAAUUUUGAUUUCAGGAGAAAUUUGAAUGAGGCGGAGAUAGAAGAGGCGGCUAGAUUAUUACAGAAAGUGGAAGAGGUCCGAUUGUCUCAAUCAAGAACGGAUAACAGAAGGUGGAAAAUGGAAGCAUCAGGAUUGUUCACAUGCAAAUCCUAUUGUUCCUUCUUGAGUAACAAUGGGAUGAUGCAAUACUUCCAACCCCAUUCACAGAUUUGGAAAUCCAAAGUUCCUCCGAAGGUUAAGAUUCUUGUAUGGUUGGCGGCCAAAGGGAAGCUCAACACUUGUGACCAAAUUCAAAGGAGAAGCCCUUUUAUUUGCUUAUCCCCACAAUGGUGCAGUUUGUGCAAAGCAAAGGAGGAGAGUGUAAACCACAUUUUUCUCCAUUGCUCUUACACGAUUCAGCUGUGGUGGAAACUGUUUCAGGAGGUUAGAGCUAGUUGGGUCAUUCCAAAGGGUUGUUUCGAGCUUCUAAGCACCAAGUUUCAGGCCCUAGGAAGUGGGAGGAAAGCUAAAGCUUUGUGGGGUUGUCUGGUCUCGGCAGUUUUUUGGAACAUUUGGCUGGAGCGUAACAAAAGAAUUUUUGAGGAUUAUACAGGUGUGGGGGUAGAAGUACUUUGGGGAAGAGUAAAAUAUUGGGCAGCCCUUUGGGCGUCAGUCUCAAAUGUUUUUAAUAACUACUCUAUUUCUCAAUUACUGUGGGAUUUGUUAGCAGCAGUAAAGUGAGUUAGGUCUAGCUAAUGUUGCUGUAGCCAAAUCCUAGUGAGAGUUUUUUCUUGUUUCUUGUUAAUGGUGGAUUUCUUAUCCACUCCAGUGUAUUUCUCUUUUCUUCUAUAAAAUGUUUUGUUUCUUCUCAAAAAAAAAAUAAUAACUUGAGAUAGUGCAUUCCAUUAUUCUUGCUAACUUGUUUUGUUUGUUUCAAAGACUUUCUAACACAUAUCUUUUGUAUUUUCCUAUUCAUGAUCCUUUAGUCUAGAAAAAUUCUUCUACGCAGUUGUUCGUAUGUAGAAACUAUCACAUCAAUGGGAUCACAAGGUACCUUGGAUGCUAAGAAAAUAUAACGACUAUUUUGUGAGUGGCCGCACAUACUUAUGACCCUUUAGUCGCACACUAAAAUUUCUCCUUAGACUAAGAUGCAUCUCAACUUUACACUACACUAAAAACACAUCAUAUUGUUAAGGAAAUGCUUGGUAACUUAUCAUCUAACACUCACUUUCAUAUCUAAAUCACUCCAAAAAGAUUUGUUGUGAGAAAAUGCGGUUUGGUUCACAAAUUUUGUCUAGUGCAUAUCAAAAGAAAGUUCAGUUCCGAACAAGAGGGCACCAAAGAUAACCUCUUGGUUCUACCAUCCAAGUGAAUAAAAAGCCCAAUUACUGGCUCAAUACAAAACAUUAAUAGAAAUGUUCUAAGCCCAAUAGUCGGUGUCCGGCUCAGAAUUCGAGAGAGCGAGAAUGGUGUCCGGCUCAGGAAUCCGCGCGAAGCGAGUGGUGGUGGAUAGGCACCACCGCAUGCUCGAUCAUCUGGCGCGGUCAUGACCAAGGACCUUCUCAACGGCCAGUCGAUCAUCUGACGCAGAAGCUGAAGUACAUGAAGUUCCUCAGGAAGCGCAUGAACACCCAACCCUCUCAGGGCCCCAUCCACUACCUCUCUCCCGCCAAAAUCUUAUGGCGCAACGUCUGAGGGUAAUGCCGUAAUUUCAUAAUGCACACUCUGGUCCUCUGUGACCGUUAUAAUGGCGAUUGGUUUGUAUUUUUUCCGGGAUGAUCCGCACAAGUCUAAACGCGGGCUCUGGCGAGGCUGAAGGUUUACGAGGGCAUCCCACCGCCGUAUGACUAGAUGAAGAAGAUGGUGGUUCCUGAUGCUAUCAAGUGAGUAUGGUGGCGGUGUGUCUUUUUGUUUUUGUUUUCUAAGUGUUUGAUGAAUUGCUUCGGUGAAUUGGGGUUUGUGAUCAAUUGUCAAAUUAGGGUUUUGAGGCUUCAGAAGGGCCACAAAUACAGCUUGUUGGGUCAGCUUUUGUCCGAGGUCGGAUGGAAUCAUUAUGACACCAUCAAGGUAAGAUGAAAUUCAACUCAAAAGAUUUAUGCAUUUUGCAAUUCUUGUUUAAUGAUGUCGAAAUUUGUUAACAUUGCCUUUUAUUUGUUGUAAGUAACUUGAAUGUAGAUUGCAUUCUCUUGUAAUUUGAAUGCAGUUUGGAUGUAAUUUGAAUGUAGAUUGUUGUUAGCCACAGCAGAGUCCAUACAUUUGUUAACUUACAGAGUUAUCUUCAUCAUUUGCAUCAUUUCACUUGUCGGUUUUAUGAUGUUUAUGUAUUUAUUCAUCCAUGAAUAUGGUUUUCAUGAUCAUACAUGGCUUUAUAUGUUUUUAAAAUUUCUUGAGAUGUCCUCGAAUUUGGAAGCUGCCUUUAAGCUUGGCAAUAGGUUUGCAUUAUACGUGUUUUUGCAUCCAUGGCAUGAUGUUCUCGGAUUUAUAUGAAUGCAAUGUUACAUUUGUUGGUAAAGUUAUAUGCCAAGUACUGAACAAGAGAAAGGAGAUAGCUGAGUUGGCAUACGAGAGGAAGAAGCUUGGUUGCAGACUGAAAAAUCUGCAGAGGAGAAGCUUGGUUCCCAGCUUCAACUCCUUUAUUCGGUGACAUAUUAAAAGUUUAGGGCUAUGACGUGGUGUCGUCGUCUUUUUUACCCUCCCAGUCAUACGUUCUUUUGUUGAGGAUUACAUCGGUGAGUUUCUUUUGGCUUUUAUUCGGGAUUACAUCGUAGUGAACUUCUUGUCGAGCAUCUCAUUUUGAGGAAUCAGAUCUUUUAUUCUGAUAAGUUUAAAUGAGGAACUUGUUUACCUGUGUUGACUGACUUGAAUCGUAUGGUUCUAAUUUGUUUUAUGAUAUUGUCUUUUUCCAUAAAAAUUUAUGGGUCUCAGUCUUGGUUUCUUUGUUGGCGCCACUUUACUGCCACCAAAAGCCAUGGCGGCUUCCGUUGUGUGCAUAUUGUGUUAACAUGGCUAGAGUUUUGGGUGUUUGCCUGACAUUUUAGCUUGACGUUUUCUAGCCUAUCGGAGAACUAUAAACCUAUUUUUGAACUGAAUUUAAAUUCGGGUAUGAUUUUUGGGUACGUCAUCGGACCGUUGAAGAUGGUCUUAGUAGAGCUAGAGACUCGUGUGGUGUUUGCACAUGUGACAAACUCUGUAAAAUGGGAUUACACUUUUCUAAUCUCGCAAAAUAUUUAGAGAAUAACUCGACUCUAGAACGUACAUUCUUGGAUGAACUUUCCAUGGUACAAAUAGAGGACUGAACAUCCUACAGUAAACCGCAGGAUAACAAAUAUCAAUGGAGGGACGUCUCAUUUACACGAGGGAAUUCGAACAAUGCCCUCCUUUCCGACUCAGCGCUGAAAAAUGCAGACCUCCUCAUGUUCCGAAGUGUUGGGAGUGAGAACUUGGAUUGGUCUUGUAUCUGGACGCUGGCUGAUCAAACACAAAGAAGUUGGCAAGAAAUGUAGAAAACAACCUGCAACAUGUUGAAAUGAUGGUAAAAGGUUUGGAACAAAAUAUUUAAGACAAAAAACUUGAUGAAUAAUUUGGUUUGACAAGAAAUUACCUACUGAAGUUUAGAAUGUGAGGAAUCUCAGGCCAAUAUUCAAUCUUCAUCCUCAUCUUAAUUAACUAAUUGACAAAAAAAAAGAGGUUUGGUCAAUACGCAAUACUGAAGAAGAAAUGUGAGAGAAGGAGAAUUGAACAAAUGAAUUAUUUGUUUUGAGAGAGAAGAAUUACUUUCGAUUUCUGGAAUAUGAGAAAUCUUGGGCCACUCUGUGCCGGUACCCCUGGCGCAUUUUUCCUUCAGAAAGGGACAUUCAAAAAUCCUUAGAUAUUUUAGUUUGGUGAGGCGUCGCAUAGCUUGGGCGGAAGGCAGAGACUUGAGAUUCGUGCAUUUGUAAAUAUGUAGAUGGUUGAGAGAUGUAAGGUCACCCAACCAUUCUGGAAGAGUCUCCAGCCCAUCACACUCAUAUAUUCCAAAGUAUGUUACAGGACUAGUCGAGUGAUUAAUUACUUGAGGCAGAGACUUGAGCUUGGGCCACCCCACUAUUGCCAAGCACUCUGAUGAUGGAAUUUGCGAAACCGGGAAAGAAUCGAGCUCCUCCCAGAAUCCACCAAUCCACAACUUUUCCAAACGAGUCAGAGUGUGUAGACCCGUCGGCAAGUAUUGUAAUUUCUCACAACUACGUAUUGAUAAAUCGGAAAGAGAUUGCAAGCUAGUUACAUCGACAUCUGCCAGAGAUAUCAAUUUUUUGCACCUUUUAAUUUUCAAGUCGACAAGAGAUGUGCAGGAUGUGAGGUUGUCUAAACUGAGAAGAGCCUUUAAAUUCUGACAAUCCUUUAUUCUCAGUUUGCCAAGGGAUGUGCAAUCGUGUAAAGAAAUCUGCCUCAAAUUCUGACAAUCCUCUAUUCUCAGUUCGCCAAGGGAUGUGCAAUCGUGUAAAGAAAUCUCCUCAAGAGUAGUGAUAGAGCCAAUGUUCAAUUCUGGUCCGCUGCAACUUGCAAUAACCAAUCUCCGGAGGGCGGUCAGACUGCUCCCCUCAUCGGCAACUGAACUCCAUCUUAGCAUAGGGCAAUUCACUAUACUCAACUCCUCAAGAGAUUCAUGACCGCCUGGCAGGCUUGAUAGUUGAGCACAAUCUUCAAUUACAAAUUGCCCAAGGGAUGGCGGGAAUACAUCUGAAAUUGGAAUGGAUACCAAGUUUCGGCUACCACUUAUUUUCAAUCUCUCAAGUGCGUUGCAAUUCUCGAUACACAGUGAACCAAGGGAUGUACAAUCCUGUAAAUACAACUCCUCCAUUGUAGUACUACUGACGAUAGACAAUUCCAGUACAUAACUUGCAAUAAGUACCAGUUUCCGAAGGGUCGUCAGACCGUGAUUUGAAAUGCUUAUUAGCUUAGGGCAGUUAUAAAUGGUCAGCUCCUCAAUAAGAGACAUGUCUACCCCAUAAGCUGAAUACUGCCCCAAUUGUUGAUAAUCGUGGACACACAGUGCACGGAUAGAAGUACAAGAUUCAAGCCCACUCGAUACACAAGUCUUUAGUCCAUCACAAUCUUCAAUGGUCAAUUCACGAAAGGAUGUGCAUUCAUGUAAACCUGAAAUUGACUCCAGACUUUUGCACGACCUUAAAGACAACACCUGUAGAGGGGUAUAGCAUUCUGGUAGACUUUGCAGGUCCAUUAAUCUUAAUCCACCACAUGAACUAAUCUUCAAUCCUCGAAGGGAUGUUGCACCAUGAACUGAAAUGGACAUCAGACUAUCGCAGCAACUUAUUUCCAAAUUUUCAAGAUAUGGACAUUUUAUGGACAACUCCUUAAGAGAAACUCGGCCGUACAAUUCUGGUCCACUAUGCAGGCUCGUUGAUGUUAAUUUACCACCACGUGAACUAAACAACAAUUUCUGGAUGGAUGUCAAACCAAAUAAUGAAAGGGAUCUAAGUUUGUCGCAGUUGCUUAUUUCCAUAUUCUCAAGAGAGGUACACUUUUCUACCAGACUUGUUAGGUUUGACAGCUCGUGACAAAUACUCAUAUCCAACUUAUGAAGGGAUGCAAAAUGAUCAGGAAAAUUUCUCAUUUGUGGACACUCCACGAGAUCCAACUCCUCAAGGCGAGGAAACACCGAUAUUUGUUUUUCUUUCACCACUGGUGGUUCAAUCCAUUCGAUCAAAUUUGGGGCCGCAGUAAUUCUGAACGUCUUCAAUGCAGGAUACAAAACCUUGGUCUUCAUUGCAUCAUCAACGUCAUCAUAGCCAUAAAACUCAUCUCCCAAACUUUUUAGAUUACACAUUGUAUUAAACUCAAGAUGCAUAAGACUAGGUAGAUGGCCAAGCAUGGGGGCUUCUUCACAUACGUCGCACUGAAUUAAUCGAAUUUUUUUCAAGUUGUUGUGCGGCUUCCAAUAUGGAAAUUUAGCACCCAUGAAAUUGUAAAUCUCUAAAAUUUCCAAAUUUGGGUGUGGCUGGAGGCCUUGGAGAACAUCUUCUUCGCUGUUGCUGUGUGGCCUCAUUUCCUCACCCCAUACAAGUGAUAACUUUCGUAUGUUUCUCUUUUCAACUAAAUUUGAUUUCUUCGCUUCUUCUCCAUCCCUCACAUGUUCCAAAUCAUAAAUAGCCAAUUCACCUUUCAAGUGAUUUAAGCCAGCCAAUUCCUCAAUUCCACGACCGAUUCCAUCAGAACUCACAAUAAAAUGAGGCAUUUUUCGAAGAUUAGUCAAUUGCUCGACCCCAACAUGAGAUUCCCUGUACCAACCAAAAUUAGCACGUUUCUUUUUUUGGACAGGACCAAAAUAGAUAUGUCUCAAGUUGAUCAAAUCUCCAAUUUCCUUAGGAAACACCUUCAGUAGUCGACAAUACUCCAUUCUUAAUGUCUGUAAGUUAUGGAGCUUGCCGACAGAUUUGGGGAUUGCUUUGAUCUUUGUCCUAGAAACGUUUAAAUACCUCAACUGCUUCAUCUUCUCAAUUGAUUUCGGCAGCUCCUUAAUAUCAGCAUUGUAAAGAUUCAAGACAUGUAAACCCCUAAACCUUGGCAACAUGUUACUAGGAACUUCACUAUUAGAAAACAAUGAGCGCAAUCCCCUUAAACUUUUUUUUGGUAUCAAUUCCAAAACCGAAGUAGGAAUGUGCGAAGCAUGUCGAAUCUUCAGUGUGCCAACCAUCUCAUAAGAAUUCGAUGUCGCGCUAUCAGAUUUUGAUACAAGUUCUGCAAAAUCAUGCACAAGAAUGUGCAUCUUGCAUUUGGCAACAACACCAAAGGCAUCCUUCGUAAGAUCUUGAAGUAAGGAGUUUUGCAACAGAAUAUGAAAAUACUCCGUGCCUAUAUCCUCCAUCUCUAGAUCACUAUUCUCGGAAGAAGGGUGAAGCAAUCCUUGAGCCAUCCACAGUUGGAUUAGGUCAUCCCUUUCCAUUUCAAAGCCUUCCUUGAACAUUGAGCAAUAAGUGAAGCAUUGUUUCAAAAUUGGGAAUUUCAAAUUAUCCAAACUCAACUUCAAUCCCGAGAUGAUCAUCUGUUCUGCUUCUGGAGAGUCCCAUAUUUUACUGUCUAGAAUUGCUGACCAUUCACUUGCAUCAUUCUUAGAACACAACAUUCCUCCGAAAACCUGUUGGUUCAUAUAUAGUUAGAUUUGUUGUUAAAUAAUUCAUAGGUUGCAUAACCGAUUAUAACAAUAAAAACAUCAAUUUGUAGUUUGACAGAAGCUGACUAAUACGUGCACAUUGUUUUGUAUUGAUGCAGACUAUAACUUGGCUUGUCCAUACAAAUGUUUCAUUUAAACUUUUUAACAUUUCAGUUGACUUCCUAUACAGUUUAAUCGACUAUAACUUGGUGUUGUUAACUUUUUAACUUUUUAACAUUUCAUUUAAACUAUAACUUGGUGUUGUUAACAUUUCAGUUGACUUCCUCUACAAUUUAGAUUUCACAUGUGUGGCUGAGAUGAGAGAAUAGUAAAUCUAACACAAACAUUUUAAUCGACGUGAGAAAUAUAUUUUAUUUAAAUUGGUUCACAAUGAUCAAGUUUUGGUGGCUAUAAUAAAUUUGUGACUAUCAACCUAGAAGAUCUAUAAUGCAACAGUAGAAGUACAUGGGUGAAGAGAAGGAGCAAUGGCCUUUUUUAAUGACCUUUAUGCACUUCUACAUUCUUUUUAUUUUUACUAGCCAUUUAGUUGAUAAAGAGAAUGUUAGGACCCUGAUAAAGUUAAUGGGUCAAUAUAUGUAAGAAGGUUAAUGAGUCACUUAAGCCCACUAAGGAGAAUACUAUGUAUCAAGAUGAAUGGGUGUCCAGUGAUCAACAAUCAUUACCGUCUAAGGGAGUGUAUCUAGAAAAAUGGUCAAGUCUAGUCGGACUAUCACGAAUGUUUAGGAAAGACAAUUUGUCAUUAUAACACAUUUAUUGUAGCUCAUUAGCUGGCCAAUGUCCAAGUUAAAGACGAGAACAUGAGUACGUGUAAUGCUUGCGGGACAAAGACAUUGGUUUCAUGAGAGUUUCAAUGUCUCGUCGGUGUUUUGGGAAGUCUACAUUGUUAUUGGAAAACAAUGAUGGCGUAUCUCUCAUCUAAGAUAGUCAUAUCUUGUUUAACACCCGGAGUCCGGAUAUGAGCUAGCCAACAUUAUAUGUAUCAUAUCCAGCCAACAUUAUAUGAAACAAAGUCCUCCAUGCACUGUGGGAGACCGAAAGAAUUGAACAAACCUUUACAGUGUUAGAUAAGAUAAAAAUUUGUGGAAAUGUUCAUGAUAUCAAGAUGGGCCAUUUUAUUUGAAGCUAAUCGUUUCAUGGUCAAGGAACUGUUGCAUUUGACAGAGUUGAUACAAUAUUGUGGUGAUAAUGCCAAGUCGUCUGAUGCCUCGCUAAUCCGAGGAAGCAAGAUUAUUAUUGGACGAAGGCAAAGUUGUUCAGUAGAUGAAUUAAACAACUUUUUGGGUCUUUGUUCAGUAGUAUUAUAUGCAUUAGAAUCAUGAAGGAAAAAGUUGUUCGGUUGGAGGCUAAUGUGCUUGUGGGAUGCUAGAGAAUUUGGAAAUUUUUCAUUUUCACCAAGGUUAUAUUUGGGGAAAUAUUCAGCAAUUGAUGACAAGUUUGCACUUGUUUUGGUUGUAGCUACCACGCUAAUACUUGGACAAAGGCAGAGCUUAUUGGGUCUAACUUAGCAUAAACUACAAUUACGGCAUGAAGACAUGCCUUUAUUUUGGGGGUAGGAUUGUUAGGAUGCUGGGAUUUACGGCUCAAAAGUAGGAUGAUGCAAAAAUUAGGUUUGUGUUACCUAUUUCAUUUUGGUGUCUUCUUUUAGUUUGGAUUUGAUUUUUUGGUUGGAUUCCUCGCUUGAUGGAGAGAUUUUGUUGAUUAACAUUUGAUUAGGAUUUUGAUUUACUUCCAAUUAGGAUUAGAAUUCUCAUUGUAACCUAAGUCCUAUGCACUAUAAAAACACUAUAAAUAGGACCUUAGGUUUUGGUUUAUUUUGUGUGCCAACACCAUUAUUUUAGAGAGUUUUCUCUCAUUGGGUUUUGGGUAGAGGUCACAGUUUGGAGUCAUGAUUGUGUGG
Molecule: long non-coding RNA, 42625 nt
Filed under: Malus domestica (apple)
Lineage: Eukaryota; Viridiplantae; Streptophyta; Magnoliopsida; Rosales; Rosaceae
Description: long non-coding RNA (MDOM_LNC006451)
Source: RNAcentral